This 495-nucleotide ribosomal RNA is filed under the name uncultured bacterium. RNAcentral's name for it is "bacterial SSU rRNA". It matches the Rfam family "Bacterial small subunit ribosomal RNA", at positions 29 to 502 of the family's 1533-position model. The record is from RNAcentral.
AGUGAACGCUGGCGGCAGGCCUAACACAUGCAAGUCGAGCGGCAGCGCGUCCGACCACCCUCGGGUGGUCGGAUGGCGGCGAGCGGCGGACGGGUGAGGAAUGCAUCGGAAUCUGCCUCGUUGUGGGGGAUAACGUAGGGAAACUUACGCUAAUACCGCAUACGACCUACGGGUGAAAGUGGGGGACCUUCGGGCCUCACGCGAUGAGAUGAGCCGAUGCCGGAUUAGCUAGUUGGCGGGGUAAAGGCCCACCAAGGCGACGAUCCGUAGCUGGUCUGAGAGGAUGAUCAGCCACACUGGAACUGAGACACGGUCCAGACUCCUACGGGAGGCAGCAGUGGGGAAUAUUGCACAAUGGGCGAAAGCCUGAUGCAGCAAUGCCGCGUGUGUGAAGAAGGCCUGCGGGUUGUAAAGCGACUUUCAGUAGGGAGGAAACAGUAGCCGGUUAAUAUCCGGUUGCCUUGACGUUACCUACAGAAGAAGCACCGGCUAACU